AAAAUAUAUAUUUAAUGAUUUUAAAAAAAUUAAGUAUCUAAAACGUUCAUUUGAAGUGAAAAUUUGACCAUUUGAAUAUAAUAAAUAUAUUCAAUAAAAUAAACUAUUUUCUUGUAAAAUAAUUUUCAUAAAACUAUGGGUACAUAAUUCUUAUAGCGUAAAAGAUAAUUAUAUUCAUAUAUACUAUAAAGCAAAUAACCAAAGCAUAAAAUUUCUUUUACAGUGACACAUGGGCCCACCUCUAACCAAAAUGCAUCGAAAGUUGAAAAAUUACAGCUUUUACCGAUUCGAGUCCAAAUGAAAGUUCUUGUCAAAGUCAGCUAACUAUGAAAUUCCCCAAGCCUGAAAUGUGAGGAAAUGAGGGUGGUGAGAUUAUAAAAUCCCAAUGAGUAAACAGAUACCAUCUAAACUAUCUAAAGUCGAGUAAAUGGAGACAAUUAAAAUAAUUCAUCAUACUGUAAUUUCAUUACCUUUCAACUCAUUUCAACCAAAUAAAAUCAAUCCAUAAAAAUUGAGUAAUCAACUUGGCUUAUGAAUUUAUUAAAACUUUGGCUCGUGUCAAAACUCAUACUCGGUGAUACCUUGCUCAGGGCAUCUAACCGAGUCCGCCAAGGCUGUUAAAAUUUUGUAUACACUUAAAAUAUAUUUUAAUUUGAGAAAAAUACAGCCAUUCCUUAGCGUUGGCUGAGUUCUCCUUCACGUGGUGGUUUGGCGUGAAGUGAACCCUAAGCUUUACCCCAGGAGAUACCCUACGCGCCUCUCCGUUCGAGGUAAUAAUAUAAUGGAGUUUACCGUGCCCCUCUAAUAGGCUGGUCCACGGAACCCCCUCUGCAGUAAAU
This 839-nucleotide long non-coding RNA is filed under the name Theobroma cacao (cacao). Its description in RNAcentral is "long non-coding RNA (TCAC_LNC004406)". Lineage: Eukaryota; Viridiplantae; Streptophyta; Magnoliopsida; Malvales; Malvaceae. The record is from RNAcentral.